RNAcentral lists this ribosomal RNA (138 nucleotides) under uncultured bacterium. Its description in RNAcentral is "partial 16S ribosomal RNA". It matches the Rfam family "Bacterial small subunit ribosomal RNA", at positions 355 to 509 of the family's 1533-position model. The record is from RNAcentral.
UGGGGAAUUUUGCGCAAUGGGGGGAAACCCCUGACGCAGCAACGCCGCGUGCGGGACGAAGGCCUUCGGGUUGUAACCGCUUUCAGCAGGGAAGACAUAGACGGUACCUGCAGAAGAAGCUCCGGCUAACUACGUGCC